GGGAAUUGGAGUCAGUUGGUUGCUGUGAGGACAAGGAGGAGUCCGUACCUAGAGGAGAAGCGUACAAGAAACAUCAAGGAAGUAUGAAACUCUGGUGAUAUAGAACCUUUGCAACGUAGUGACAACAGAACUCCUGCACUAUAAUAACAGGAGGAAAGAAGAAACUCAGAAGUUCAUUGCUGUGAAGUUUGAAGGAAAUUUCCCGUCCCUAAAGUUAAAUAGAGCCAGUGGUAUCCAGCCUCUUUGGGGACUGGACCACAAAUGCCUUUCCCAACCUUUUGGCCACACCUGAGCUUCAUUCUGAACCUCCUGUACAGGUCCAAGGAAAAGAAGAGUGAGCCAAGGCUCCCAAGGGAUUGUGUUCCAUCCAAGAUCUCAGUGGCUGAGUACCACCAAGAGUGAGUGGGAGUAAGUAGCAAGCCUCAAGAGGAAAAUGUUUACACAGAGGAGAGCAUGGAUAAGGCUGUGUCUGCUCCAGAAAGGUCCAUGGACAUGAAUUUCUGCAGUCAUCUCCUUGUGCACCUGACUGGUCCUGUGGUGCUGCCCAUCCUGCAUCAGUCAAUGAGAACAGGGCUGAGUUUGCUCAGGGCUGUGUUCUUGUCUGGGUGAGCUGCUUUUCUCCACGUUUUUAUAUUGUAAAACUGUCUCAGAGGAUUCCUCUAAACUGACCUGCAGAAAAAGCCACACUGAGAGCAAACAACACAGAAAAAGAGGUGAAAACAAGAAAAACAGAGCUUGAGGGGAAAUGCACUCAGUGUGGGUUUGUUCCAAGCCUAUUUUAGAGGUGCAAAUUUUGUUCAUUUCUGUAGAAGAAGCAUUUUUUUUUUUGAAAUGUGACUAUUAAUACCAAGUCAGCACAAGAAUUUCUAGCACUUCAUAACACUACAGCUAUUUGAAGAGCAUCAGCAUCCUCUAGCUACACAGCAGAGCAAAGACUACACAGAAACUGUUCCAUGGUUGCUCAUAUAGAAGCAAUAAAGGAUAUUUAGGACCUUCUGACACAGCAGCUGUUCAGACUGGCCAUGGGAGAUAUUACCUGCAUACCAACUACAAAGAGAAAUACUUGGCUUUUUAUUCACUGGCUGGUUUCUGAAUAAAGUGCAGCAGACACACAAAAAAUGCCAGACAUUUUAAAUAUUUUCAAAACUGCUUUUAAAAGUCAGAGGGUAGAUCUGGGACUUCUCCUGCAUAUGUGAUUAUUUGCCAUGAGAUUACAGGGAAACCACUGGUUCCCAUCUGCUUCCCCUCAUCAGGGGCUCUCCUUACCCUAAAUAUCUGAGUUCAUUCUGUGACAUUUUCUUAGGGUAACUCCUUAGAGGAGGAUCCUGCUGCCCUGAAGUUCUGCCCAGAGCUCUAUCAGGAGCUGUUUGCUCUGUCUCCUGCAGACCAUGACACAGCUGUCUGCCUUAAACCUGGAAGGUUCAUAGUUCUCCUCUAACCUUAUUAUUAUUAUUAUUAUUAUGUAACCCUCUGGUUACAUAAUAUUUAAGUAAACUAAAUAAACUGAGAGUUGCCAAAGGGAGAAACAACCCAAACACGCUCUGUCAGAUCAAUUCAGGGAGCACCAAUGAAAGUCUUUUUAAUAGCAGCUCCCUUUCAUGAAGCAUCACUUUAGUCUACAACCUCAUUUAUUUAAAUGACUUUUUCUUUCCCUGAAAAUAAAUACCUUCAUGCCUUCAGAAAUCUGUGGGCAGU
This is a long non-coding RNA of Zonotrichia leucophrys gambelii, 1695 nucleotides long. RefSeq lists it as uncharacterized. The transcript is spliced from 2 exons. Lineage: Eukaryota; Metazoa; Chordata; Aves; Passeriformes; Passerellidae. The record is from RefSeq and is a predicted model, not a curated record.